This 368-nucleotide unclassified non-coding RNA is filed under the name fungal sp. RNAcentral's name for it is "partial internal transcribed spacer region". The stretch from base 1 to 46 matches the Rfam family "Eukaryotic small subunit ribosomal RNA", at positions 1786 to 1831 of the family's 1831-position model. The record is from RNAcentral. Lineage: Eukaryota; Fungi.
AAGUCGUAACAAGGUUUCCGUAGGUGAACCUGCGGAUGGAUCAUUAUCACGUAUCCACGUAUCAACCAUUGUGAACUGUCUAUUUACGAUAUCAAAGCAGGCGUCUGUGUGGAUGAUGAAAAAAAUCGUAUUAAUCCAUUUUUGACUUCAUUCACACCGCGCGUUUGUCGCGCAGGAGGUUGAGUUUAGAAUGUUAUAAGCACGCGUGCUCUGACUUUCUCACACAUUCUUUUGCUGAUACGUAAAUUUUUUAUUAACAACUUAAACCUAAAUUUUAUAACUUUUGAACUGAUUUAUUUCAUACUCUUCGGAGAUGAAAUUCAUUACGAAACAAAGAACAACUCUUAGCAACGGAUAUCUUGGUUCUC